UUUUUUUUGUUUUUUUUUUUUUUAACUUAUUCCAAUUUUUUUGUACGAGCUGAAGAGGAUGGAGGAAGGAGUGAGGGGCUCCCUAGAUCUGACACUAUGUCUUACUGGCUCAUUGGAAUACCUUGUCAUGGUCCUCCUCGGGGCUGCUGCAUUUUUGCUUCAUUUAUUUUCUCCAGCAAUAGAGAACUUCAUAUUUGAGCGUCUAUAUCUGAAGUGAGGGGGAGAAAAAAAGUGGAAGGAUAAAUGCAAGGAGUAAAGAUGAAGAACUCAUUCCAGGAGUUCCCAUUGUGGCUCAGCAGUAAUGAACCUGAUUAGUAUCCAUGAGGACGAGGGUUCAAUCCCUGGCCUCGCUCAAUGGAUUAAAGGAUCCGGCGUUGCCAUGAGCUGUGGCAUAAGUUUCAGAUGCGGCUUGAAUCUGGCAUGGCUGUGGCUGUGGCUGGCAGCUGCAACUCCGAUUCAACCCCUAGCUUGGGAACUUGCAUAUGCCUUGGGUGUGAACUUAAAAAGACCAAAAAUAAAAAUAAGUAAAUGAAAUGUCAUGACCUAAGUGUUUCACUUCCUAUUGCUGUGCAACAAAUUAACACAAAGCUAAACAGCUAAAAAAUAAGUUAUUUUUCUCCCAGUUUUUGUCAGUCAGGUGUCCUGGCACAGCUGAGCUGUGUGCUUUGGGCUUAAGAGAUCAUAAGACUGCCACCAAGGCUUCAAUGGGGCCAUGGUCUCAUCUGAAGGCCCAACCUGGAGAGGACCCAAUUCUAGGCUCCCUGAUGUGGUUCUUGAUGAAAUUCAGUUCCUUGUGGGUUACUGGCCAGAGGCCCCCACAGUUGCUGGCCAUGGGAACCUCUCCAUAAGGCAACUCCUAACAGGGCAGCUGGCUUCCCUCAAAGCAAGGGGGAGUGCCCAAGACGGAAACCUGUCUUUUUAUACCCUGAUUUUGGAAAUGACAUCCCAUCAGCUCUAUGUAUUCUAUUCUCUAGAAGCAAAUCACUGAAUCCAGACCUCCUGCAAAAGGAAAGGAUGGUUCAAGGACAUGAACCAGGAGGUAGGGAUCUUUGGGGGCCAUCCUGGCAAUUACCUGGCAGUAAUUUGUGUUUUGGGUAGAAAAAAACAGAAAAUGCAGGUAUGCCACAUUUCAUAGGCAAUUUUAUCAUGAAGAUUUUAACUAGUUACGUACUCUUUCAUGACUUUUUUCUACACAUUGUGUAGUUUAAAAAUGUAUCAGACAACAAUGACUCUUUGGGAACAUACUCUGUUAACUCAGGAAUAUAUCAUGUGUCAAUAAACAUUGUUCUACGUCAUUUUCAAUGGUUGGAUUUAUUUCAUCAUACAUUCCAUCAAAUGGUCUUUGAUGACUAAUUUUAUGUGUUAACAUGACUGGGCCAUGAGGUGCCCAGGUAUUUGGUUAAGCAUUAUGCUGAGUGUGUCUGUGAGGGCAUCUCUGGAUGAGAUUAACAUUUGAAUUCACAGACUGAAUAAAGCAGAUUGCCUUCCCUGGUGUGGGUGGUUCCCAUCCAAUCCUUUGCAGGCCUGAGCAGAAUAAAAGGCAGGGUAAGGGAGAACUCCCUCUCUCUGCCUGACUAUUUUCCAGUUGGAAAUGAGUCUUUUUCCAGCACAUGAACUUGGACUGGAAAUGACAUCAUUGGCUCUUCUGGUUCUUAGAUCUUCAGAUUUGGACUUAAACUAUAUCAUCUGAUCUCCAAUGUCUCCAGCUUGUAGACAGUUGAUCAUGGGACAUCUUAGCCUCUGUGAUUAUAUGAGCCAAUUCCAUAUAAUAAAUCUUGGAAAAACAAUUCUAAAAUUUGUAUGAAAUCACAGAAGACCCUAAAUAGUCAAAGCAAUCUUGAGAAAGAAGAACAAAGCUGGAGGCAGCACACUUCCUGAUUUCAAAUUAUAUUAUAAAGUUAUAGUAAUCAAAACAGUAUAGUAUUGACAUAAACCAUACCCAGAGAUAGGAUACACAGAAACAUAGAUAAGCGGAAGAGAAUACAGAGCCUGGAAAGAAACCUAUGCAUUAAUGAUCGAUCAAUUUAUGACAAAGGACCCAAGAAUAUACAGUGGGUAAAGGAAGUCUCUUUAAUAAAUUGUAUUGGGAAAACUGGACAGUGACAUGCAAAAUAAUAAAAUUGGAGGCUUAUUUUAUAUCAUACACAAAGAUCAACACAAAAUGGAUUAAAAAGUUAAAUUUUAGGUCUGAAACAAUAAAACUCCUAGAGAAAACAUAGAGGCUAAACUUCCAGACAUCAGUCUUGGCAUUGGCUUUUUUUGCUUUUUUUUUUUUUUCAGGGCCGCACCAACAGCAUAUGGAAGUUCCCAGGGGGUCGAAUAGAAGCUACAGCUGUUGGCCUACACCACAGCCAUAGCAACUUGGGAUCUGAGCCGAAUCUGUGACCUAUAGCACAUCUCAUGGCAAUGCUGGAUCCUUAACUCACUGAGAGAGGCCAGGGAUGAAACCCGCAUCCUCAUGGAUCCUAGUUGAGUUCGUUACCACCGAGCCACAAAGGGAACUCCUGCUUUUUUUUUAAAUUUAACUCCAAAAGCAAAAAUAAACAAGUGGGACUAUGACAAACUAAACCCUUUCCAUAGCAAAGGAAACUAAAAACAAAGUGAAAAGGCAACCUACAGAUGGGAGAAAAUAUUUGCAAAUCAUAUAUCUGACAAGGGGCUAAUAUUUAAAAAAUAGUCAUUUCUUGGUAUCUGCAAGGGAAAGUUUCAAGGAUCCACUGCAGAUACCAAAACCUACAGAUGUUCAAGUCUCAUGAUCAGCUCUCCAUAACUGUAGGUUCUGCAUCUGUGGAAUCAACCAACCAUGGAUUAUAAACAUAGUACUCAAUGUUUACACCAUAUAAAACUGAUGUAAUGCAGGUAUGAAGGGCUGACUGUAUGUAAAACCUCAUACAACUCAAUAGCAAAAAACAAAACAAUUUGAUUUUUAAAUGGGCAGGAGUUCUCUUGUGGUACAGAGUUCCCGUCGUGGCGCAAUGGUUAAUGAAUCUGACUAGGAACGAUGAGAUCGCAGGUUCGAUCCCUGGCCUUGCUCAGUGGGUUAAUGAUCCGGCGUUGCCGUGUGCUGUGGCGUAGUUCGCAGAUGCGGCUCGGAUUCCGUGUUGCUGUGGCUCUGGUGUAGGCCGGUGGCUACAGCUCCGAUUAGACCCCUAGCCUGGGAACUGCAUAUGCCACGGGAGUGGCCCUAGGAAAAGCAAAAG
This 3200-nucleotide long non-coding RNA is filed under the name Sus scrofa (pig). RNAcentral describes it as "lncRNA (ENSSSCG00025069809.1)". Lineage: Eukaryota; Metazoa; Chordata; Mammalia; Artiodactyla; Suidae. The record is from RNAcentral.